Molecule: non-coding RNA, 121 nt
Organism: Picea glauca (white spruce)
Lineage: Eukaryota; Viridiplantae; Streptophyta; Pinopsida; Pinales; Pinaceae
Source: Rfam
ACAUGCCUACAAAAUAGCGUUAAUGCACCAGAUCCCAUUAGAACUUCAAAGUUAAGCACACUCGCGCUAGAGCAGUAUUGGGAUGGGUGACUACCUAGGAAGUCUUUGUGUUUUACAUGCC